CAAGUCGAACGCGAAAGUUCCCUUCGGGGAGCGAGUAGAGUGGCGCACGGGUGAGUAACACGUAGGUAAUCUACCUUUGGAUUGGGAAUAACAACCGGAAACGGUUGCUAAUACCGAAUAAUGCAGCGGCACCUAAUGGUGACAGUUGUUAAAGCGGGGGAUCGCAAGACCUCGCGUCUGAAGAGGAGCCUGCGGCAGAUUAGCCAGUUGGUAAGGUAACGGCUUACCAAGGCUAUGAUCUGUAGCCGGCCUGAGAGGGCGGUCGGCCACACUGACACUGACAUACGGGUCAGACUCCUACGGGAGGCAGCAGUCGGGAAUUUUGGGCAAUGGGCGCAAGCCUGACCCAGCAACGCCGCGUGAAGGAUGAAAUCCUUCGGGAUGUAAACUUCGCAAGAACGGGAAGAAUAAGUAAGAGUUAAUAUCUCUUACGAUGACGGUACUGUUUGUAAGCUCCGGCUAACUCCGUGCCAGCAGCCGCGGUAAUACGGGGGGAGCAAGCGUUGUUCGGAUUUACUGGGCGUAAAGGGCGCGUAGGCGGCCACCGCAAGUCGACUGUGAAAUCUCCGGGCUUAACCCGGAAAGGUCAGCCGAUACUGCGGGGCUAGAGUGCAGAAGGGGCAACUGGAAUUCUCGGUGUAGCGGUGAAAUGCGUAGAUAUCGAGAGGAACACCUGCGGCGAAGGCGGGUUGCUGGGCUGACACUGACGCUGAUGUGCGAAAGCUAGGGGAGCGAACGGGAUUAGAUACCCCGGUAGUCCUAGCCUUAAACGAUGAAUGCUUGGUGUCUGGGGUUUUAUAGUCCCCGGGUGCCGUCGCUAACGCUUUAAGCAUUCCGCCUGGGGAGUACGGUCGCAAGACUGAAACUCA
Molecule: ribosomal RNA, 869 nt
Filed under: uncultured bacterium
Lineage: Bacteria
Description: bacterial SSU rRNA
Rfam family: Bacterial small subunit ribosomal RNA
Source: RNAcentral